Molecule: ribosomal RNA, 253 nt
Filed under: uncultured bacterium
Lineage: Bacteria
Description: partial 16S ribosomal RNA
Rfam family: Bacterial small subunit ribosomal RNA
Source: RNAcentral
UACGGAGGGUGCAAGCGUUAUCCGGAUUCACUGGGUUUAAAGGGCGCGUAGGCGGCGCAACAAGUCACUUGUGAAAUCUUCAGGCUUAACCUGAAGCGGCCAAGUGAUACUGUCGUGCUAGAGUGCGGAAGGGGCAACUGGAAUUCUUGGUGUAGCGGUGAAAUGCGUAGAUAUCAAGAGGAACACCUGCGGCGAAGGCGGGUUGCUGGGCCGACACUGACGCUGAGGCGCGAAAGCUAGGGGAGCGAACGGG